GCAAGUCGAACGCGUUGGCCCAAUUGAUUGAUGGUGCUUGCACCUGAUUGAUUUUGGUCGCCAACGAGUGGCGGACGGGUGAGUAACACGUAGGUAACCUGCCCAGAAGCGGGGGACAACAUUUGGAAACAGAUGCUAAUACCGCAUAACAGCGUUGUUCGCAUGAACAACACUUAAAAGAUGGCUUCUCGCUAUCACUUCUGGAUGGACCUGCGGUGCAUUAGCUUGUUGGUGGGGUAACGGCCUACCAAGGCGAUGAUGCAUAGCCGAGUUGAGAGACUGAUCGGCCACAAUGGGACUGAGACACGGCCCAUACUCCUACGGGAGGCAGCAGUAGGGAAUCUUCCACAAUGGGCGCAAGCCUGAUGGAGCAACACCGCGUGAGUGAAGAAGGGUUUCGGCUCGUAAAGCUCUGUUGUUAAAGAAGAACACGUAUGAGAGUAACUGUUCAUACGUUGACGGUAUUUAACCACAAAGUCACGGCUAACUACGUGCCAGCAGCCGCGGUAAUACGUAGGUGGCAAGCGUUAUCCGGAUUUAUUGGGCGUAAAGAGAGUGCAGGCGGUUUUCUAAGUCUGAUGUGAAAGCCUUCGGCUUAACCGGAGAAGUGCAUCGGAAACUGGAUAACUUGAGUGCAGAAGAGGGUAGUGGAACUCCAUGUGUAGCGGUGGAAUGCGUAGAUAUAUGGAAGAACACCAGUGGCGAAGGCGGCUACCUGGUCUGCAACUGACGCUGAGACUCGAAAGCAUGCGUAGCGAACAGGAUUAGAUACCCUGGUAGUCCAUGCCGUAAACGAUGAGUGCUAGGUGUUGGAGGUUUCCGCCCUUCAGUGCCGUAGCUAACGCAUUAAGCACUCCGCCUGGGGAGUACGACCGCAAGGUUGAAACUCA
RNAcentral lists this ribosomal RNA (890 nucleotides) under Limosilactobacillus fermentum. RNAcentral's name for it is "bacterial SSU rRNA". It matches the Rfam family "Bacterial small subunit ribosomal RNA", at positions 57 to 903 of the family's 1533-position model. The record is from RNAcentral. Lineage: Bacteria; Bacillati; Bacillota; Bacilli; Lactobacillales; Lactobacillaceae.